AACUCACGGACCGUGAGAUCGUGACCUGAGCUGAAGUCGGACGCUCAACCGACUGAGCCACCCAGGUGCCCCAAGAUUCUGCAUUUCUAACAACCUCUAGGAUGUCACAUUGCUGACUCACGGACCACACUUCGAGGCAUGAAGGAUUCCUUUACAGCUUGGCGAAGCCACAGGACCACAUUCUGGUCAAUGAGGUGAAGGCUUUAAGAGAAUCGAAUCAGGUGUGAGGGUGUGCAAUGGUCAGGUCUGGGCUGAAUCCACCCCAAAUCCAAGGAGCCUGGAAGAAUUUUGGUAACCAUGAAGAUGCUGUCUCCUCUGGAAUCUUCCAGCCUUCAUGAGAGCCGGGUGUUGGUUGUGCAGAGGGCUCUGCAUGAGGCCUUUGGUGAAUGCCAAGUGGUGUGAGUUGCAUUCUGCAGACAGCACCCUGGUUAUCUCGACGGGCAGGGACACUACUGAGAACUAGGUGGGAAGCUUUCUUUGUUGAUAAAAGGAGUCUACCUGACAACGGUUACUACGAGGAGCUUCUUUUUGGGGGAGAAACAUCAGCCGCCUGGGGUGCAGGGUUUCAGCCAGCCCUGCUCCAGGGAUCCAACAGUAAACAAGGCCCAUGAGGCGCUCCAGAGGUCAGAAGCUGAAAACAGACACCCACAGCCAGCUCUUCCCAAACAAGAGUCUUUAUUUUUAUGAUGUACCCCGCCCUCUGUCAAAAAAAAAAAAAAAAAAAAAAAAAAAAAAAGUGCGGAGAGCAUUAUUUAAAUGGCUGGUUUUGUAGCAAAGAGCUUGAAACUCAGAUCGGUGCCCGGCACAGUGGAGCCAAAAGGAAAGGAUUGAUUGAUCGCAGGCUCUGGGAAGCCCUCCACCUCUGCAGGACCCCUCCCUCUGGAGUUCUGUAGAAGGGAGGAAACACACACCCAGAUUGCACAAGAGAUCCAGUCCUUGGUUGGCCCAAAUGGAUCAAGAAGAAGUCCCAGGAGCUCUGUGAAAGCUUCUUCCCCUUGGUGGCUGGGCCUCACUUCACAGGCCUAGAUAAUCCCUCUCCUGCCCUGUCAAGAUCCUGAGGUGUUAUCAGUCUCUCCAGCCAAAAGGCCCAGCCCAAAUCGGCUCCCAGGAGAAGUUUCCACACAACAUUACAUUCUUCAGAAACCUGUCUCCUUUGAUUAACAAGACCUUUUAGCUUUCUUUUGAAUUCUAUAUAGAUGGCCAGAACGCACCCACACACACUGUCCCGCUAACGGCUGAGGGUGGAGAAGUGUCUCCUGGUGUUGGGGUAACCUAGAUCUGAGCUUUGCCAGCAAAGUCAAUGUUACACCCUAUGUGACACUGGGUUUACCCUAACCAGUAAGUGUUCAGAAUCAUUAUCACAGCUCCCUCCUCAUUAAGGGCAUUCAAUGGCUUUCCAGUUGCUCUGCCGACACAGACUAAAAUGGCUGACAAGGCUGACAAGGCCCUAAAGGUUCUGGCCUGGGCACUGAAACUUUGAGCACGUUCCCAAAGCCAGGGCCACUUUGCACACUGAUAAUCUCAGGGUGGAUAGUAUAGCAGGGGCCGGACAGACUCUGAUUCACUAGCCCCACAUCACAGUCCUCCAUUCAUCCCUCAUAAGAUACUGACAGAAAGAAUGAUAAAAGGCAAAUAUCCGGAUGACAAACUAAAAACUCUUCCAGUCAAAGAGACCGAGCACAGACUCAGUGUUGGAAUCCAAAAGCCAUUCAGUGGGCUUUCUAUCAUGCUGGCACCUGCAACCCCUGAGUGAAGACAGAGACCAUGGUGUCUUGAAGCAAGAGAGCAGGUGGAUGUAAUUCUCGGGUAGCAGAAGGCCCCUCUAUUUGGUGCCCUGCAGUGGCAGAGGAAUACUGUUUACACAGCCUGUAAGGUGCCCCCUUAAUACUGCCUCCCGCUUAGGGGGGAUUGCCAGGCAUCUCCCUCCUUCUCUUUGACUGGGUAUCAGCUACUGUUCCCUCAGCUACCAGGACAGUCCUCAGAGGUCAAGAGACAUCAGUCACAAAGCUUUCCUGUGUGAACAGUGCUCCCUGGGGUUCUGCAAGGCAGGGGCCUUGACUUCACUUCCUCAAGCAAGCCCUCCUGAUCCUCCUGACCGGUCCAGAGCUAUGAGACCCCUCCUGGAUGUCAGAGAGUAGUUGAUCAGAUCUGUCUCCCCUCCUAGACUAGAAGCUCUGCUCUUCUGUUGGUGGGCUUCCUCGCUGUUCUAUCCCCACUUGGCCCAUGUCCUACCAGGGAGUAGAAGUUGAAUGAACAAUUUCUCAUUCUCCCACCCCCUGACUGUUCCAGGCCUGCCACCCACCUCGAGCUCCUGACACUCUGAUGCACAGUCUUCGGAGGCAUCGAUGACCUCUGUGUUGGCACUUUUUCUCUUUCUUGGAACAGGGAUGGUGCUGAGUAAUUUUGUUGCCUGGAGCUAAAAACUCCCCAAGGCCACUUCCCUACGUGUGGGACUCGUGGCAUCACUGAGAUAAAUCGGCUUUCCUGCCUGGCCUGCUUCUACACAUGGACACCCUUUCCAAACAUCUUUUUGUGAUUUGACCUCCCCUUGAUGCUCAUUAUAACUGAAAUCCAGGAAUAUAGAGUUGUGGGAUGGGGGAGGAUGAGCAGAGCAAGGGGUGAGGGAAGCAGGCACGCAGGGCUCCAAGUGUCAUUGCCAGUAGGCAUGCCACAGGUGAUGCUCAGCUGUGUCCCUGUCCCCAGACUUCCUCCCCAGAACCAGUGGCUCUCAGUUAGGAAUCCAAUAUUUCAUGACUAUUGUUUCUGUAAACAGAAUCACAUUUUUCCAUUAUUUUCUGUCAUCACACAUCAAAACAAAUUCUCAUAUAAAAAGGUUUUGUUCCUAAGAUAUAAUACAGAUCACAAUAAUAAUAAGCCAAGCAUAUUUUAAUCAUGUCCUUGGAAAAUGAGAUGUUUUUGAUAAAAAUUAGUAAAAAUCAUGAACAUGGUACCAAAACGUUAAGGAAUUGCUGAAUCCUGUCUUCCUCUGGGAUGAGCCUCCCUUAUCUCGAGUGACAGGAAAAUAUUUUCUUUUAAAACUCAAUGGUCGUAACUGUCUCUUCUAAAGUCUUCGAUCCGUGGUGGUGGUUUAUUACCCAGUUCAGAUUCAGGGAGAUUAAGGCCACCAACUUCUUUUAUAUAGAAGAUGAGCUUCUGUUGACCAUAAAGAUUGUUUCCACGAUCCAUGAUUUUCCGGGUAUGGACACGAGGCUCUAUUUUGUCUAAUUGAGCAGAA
Molecule: long non-coding RNA, 3235 nt
Organism: Herpailurus yagouaroundi (jaguarundi)
Lineage: Eukaryota; Metazoa; Chordata; Mammalia; Carnivora; Felidae
Exons: 5
Source: RefSeq, a predicted model, not a curated record